GGGUUUGACAUCCCGAUCGUACUCUAUGGAAACAUAGGGGUCAGUUCGGCUGGAUCGGUGACAGGUGCUGCAUGGCUGUCGUCAGCUCGUGUCGUGAGAUGUUGGGUUAAGUCCCGCAACGAGCGCAACCCUUGUCCUUAGUUGCCACCAUUCAGUUGGGCACUCUAAGGAGACUGCCGGUGUUAAACCGGAGGAAGGUGGGGAUGACGUCAAGUCCUCAUGGCCCUUAUAUCCAGGGCUACACACGUGCCACAAUGGCCGGUACAAAGGGUCGCAAUACCGCGAGGUGGAGCUAAUCCCAAAAAGCCGGUCUCAGUUCGGAUUGGAGUCUGCAACUCGACUCCAUGAAGUCGGAAUCGCUAAUAAUCGCGUAUCAGCGUGACGCGGUGAAUACGUUCCCGGGCCUU
This 407-nucleotide ribosomal RNA is filed under the name uncultured Geothermobacter sp. RNAcentral describes it as "bacterial SSU rRNA". It matches the Rfam family "Bacterial small subunit ribosomal RNA", at positions 977 to 1382 of the family's 1533-position model. Lineage: Bacteria; Pseudomonadati; Thermodesulfobacteriota; Desulfuromonadia; Desulfuromonadales; Geothermobacteraceae. The record is from RNAcentral.